RNAcentral lists this ribosomal RNA (405 nucleotides) under uncultured Bacillota bacterium. Its description in RNAcentral is "uncultured Firmicutes bacterium partial 16S ribosomal RNA". It matches the Rfam family "Bacterial small subunit ribosomal RNA", at positions 355 to 774 of the family's 1533-position model. Lineage: Bacteria; Bacillati; Bacillota. The record is from RNAcentral.
UAGGGAAUAUUGGGCAAUGGAGGCAACUCUGACCCAGCAACGCCGCGUGAAUGAAGAAGGUUUUAGGAUUGUAAAGUUCUGUUCUUAGGGAAGAAUAAAAUGACGGUACCUAAGGAGAAAGCCCCGGCAAACUACGUGCCAGCAGCCGCGGUAAUACGUAGGGGGCAAGCGUUGUCCGGAAUAACUGGGCGUAAAGGGAGUGUAGGCGGUCUUUUAAGUUAAAUGUGAAAUCCUUGGGCUUAACCCAAGAACUGCAUUUAAUACUGGGAGACUAGAGUGCAGGAGAGGAGAGUGGAAUUCCAAGUGUAGCGGUAGAAUGCGUAGAUAUUUGGAGGAACAUCAGAGGCGAAGGCGGCUCUCUGGACUGUAACUGACGCUGAGACUCGAAAGCGUGGGGAGCAAACA